UACGUAGGUGGCAAGCGUUGUCCGGAUUUACUGGGCGUAAAGAGCGCGCAGGCGGUCGUUCAAGUCGCGUGUGAAAGCCCCCGGCUCAACUGGGGAGGGUCACGCGAUACUGAUCGACUCGAAGGCAGGAGAGGGUAGUGGAAUUCCCGGUGUAGUGGUGAAAUGCGUAGAUAUCAGGAGGAACACCCGUGGCGAAAGCGGCUCUCUGGGACGGUACUGACGCUGAGACGCGAAAGCGUGGGGAGCAAACAGG
Molecule: ribosomal RNA, 253 nt
Filed under: uncultured bacterium
Lineage: Bacteria
Description: partial 16S ribosomal RNA
Rfam family: Bacterial small subunit ribosomal RNA
Source: RNAcentral